Molecule: long non-coding RNA, 2390 nt
Filed under: Daphnia pulex (common water flea)
Lineage: Eukaryota; Metazoa; Arthropoda; Branchiopoda; Diplostraca; Daphniidae
Description: uncharacterized LOC124208652
Source: RNAcentral
UUGAACCUUGAUAUUUAUCGCCGUGUUUCCCGCGGGUGGCAGUUGUGAUUGCCCACAAGGACCCCCAACUCGGUGCCUGCGCACACAACAAUCCCAACCAAGGGCAUGUGGCACACCAGAGGCCUCGCAGUCGGGACUAUACGCACAACACACAGCACACAACAUAGCAGUAUAGGUAUUUACUAUUUACAUCCAACACGGACUGCUAUGGUAUAGAUAUUUUUUUUUCUCGUGUGUCUUUUCUCUUAUUCUUAUUUAUCGCCGCAUAAUAAUCGAGUGCCCUGCUGCACAAUGGCCUAGUGGAAUAGUGGGUGCUGUGUGUAUGUGUGUGUGUGUGGUGUGGCGCUCACGCUGCGAAAUCAGCCCACUCGCGGCGGCGACGCUUGCACCUGUGGAUUUCCCAUCGGGUUGAUUCAAUUUCCUAUUCGGUUGCGGGUAGACGCGCUAUAGCGCUGCUUUUUUUUUUCUUUCCUUUUUUUUAUCUGUCGACCUCCGCGGUGCGUGGCACAGACACAUGCGAACGAAACCUUCACGCUCACCUAUUGCGUCACUGCCACCCCUAUUCUGCGACUCAAAGGCGCAUUCAGAGUUUCAGACCGUCUCAAUUUUCUGCAAGGGGGAAAAAGCGGAAAAAGCACUUUAGAAAAAUGGAGAACACAGUCUGUGCAGCAUCGCUUCGUGGAUAUACAUGUCAAGAACCAUCGACGCAAUCUUCGUGAUAGAUGGUAAAGAAAGAAUCAAGAUGAUAACGGUAUCUGAAUAAAAAAUGAUGACGAAACAUCUCAUCGGCAGUCAUGUCGGUGCGUUCGUGCGUGGGCAGAGCAGCAGGAGCAGCAGCAACGUCCGGAGAAGAAAAGAAAAAAAAGUUGGAGUAGUAGUCGUGCGAAAGAGCAUACGGUAUACGGCAUGCACACACAUCGCACAAUAGCACUUUAUAAUAAAUAUAUACACAGACUAAAUCAAGUAGACUCCCAAGCAGUCCAAACUAUUAAUAACACUUCAACAGAGAGGGUGACAACACAAACAACCAAAAAAAAAUCACAUUCCUUCGCCGAGCUGCUCUUUGCUGCUUCCAGGCUUUUCAUGUCGGCGAGAUGAAAACGACACAGCGGUCGCAUUCGACACCUUUGGCGUUUCGCUAACAAUCAACCAACUCCUAUCAUCAAGACACACAACAUUUAAUGGCUUUGUUGCCGGCCUAUUGGUAAUCAAACAUCGACAAUAAGACGUGUGCUUUAUAUGUACAACACAAACCUAUACGAUUUCACUUUGUGUGUCCCACUCGACUUUUUGGUUAACUGACUGAUGUCAUUUUUCUCGGGGAUUCGUCCGAAUUGGCAACGGGUUGCGGGUGACAGCGCAGCGCAGCGCGGCCGGCCCGCAAGCUGCGACAAUCAGCGGGACGUCGACAACAAACGACAGCAAUCAAGUCUGGGCGCCAUUCGUCAUCAUCUCAAAGGUGUUCAAAAAGUCGCGGCCUUCCUUCCAGUGAAUAUGCGAUAUGACGUCUCGGAAAAUGUUGAUUGUUGACAUUGCUUCAUCGAAUCAUUUCCUAGGGCCUGACACAUACUUUAUACGCAGCCGAGAGCUAGAGCCCGGCCAGCACUGGCCCAGCCACAAAAAGAGAAAAAUAAAUCGACUUCCAUCUCCAUUCAGGGCUUCGUGGACAUAUAGAAUGGAUUUUGAAGAGAGAAGUGCUUGAUCAUUCCUUGUCGAUUUGCAACGGAUCAGUGACAACGACACCCCCGAAAUGACGGGUUGAGGAAUUGAGAAAAGCCAACAACAACAACAACAGCAACAACACCGGAUCGAUGAGCCAUUGAAGCCUGACACGCGAUAGGGCUGGGGGCUCACACGAAAUGCUGGUGUGUUGCAUCGGAGACGAGAAAAGAGCCUUAUACCGAAGGACAUGCAAAUUCCAGUUGUGUGUGUGUGUGUGCGUGAGCGCCGAAAACAACGGAGAGGUAGAGAAGAGAUACGUCCAAACAAAUUGCCAACACGAAAGAUGCCUUAACGCGGGAAUUUGUUGCAUUGCCGCCGCCCGGUCGUUUGUUACAUUCUCCAAAACCAUUUUCAUGGCUUUUCUCUUUUUGUUGUUGUUAUAGCUCAGGUUGGCGUGCUCUUCCCGCUCUGUACGCUCAAGACACAGCACAUCGGGAAGAAGGGGGUAAAAGGAAACAAGGUUGUGAUUUAUCACGUCCAAAUAACCAAAUGAAGCAUUGUCUUUUUCGUUUUUUUUUUGUAUUUUUUAGAAAAAAAAAAUUUUAAAUCUAAAUGAAAACUUCUUUUGUUUUUUAGCCCGAAUUUUGAAAAUGAGAUGGUGCGAAAAUAAAUUCACCGGAAAAUCGAAUCCUUAGAAACGCGCGCUAUUCAAUUUAAAAAAAAAUGGA